RNAcentral lists this ribosomal RNA (497 nucleotides) under uncultured bacterium. RNAcentral describes it as "partial 16S ribosomal RNA". It matches the Rfam family "Bacterial small subunit ribosomal RNA", at positions 28 to 507 of the family's 1533-position model. The record is from RNAcentral.
GAUGAACGCUGGCGGCGUGCCUAAUACAUGCAAGUCGAGCGAACCGACGAGGAGCUUGCUCCUCUGACGUUAGCGGCGGAGGGGUGAGUAACACGUGGAUAACCUACCUCUAAGACUGGGAUAACUUCGGGGAACCGGCGCUAAUACCGGAUAAUAUAUUGAACCGCAUGGAUCACUAGUUAAAGACGGUUUUGGUGUCACUUAUAGAUGGAUCCGCCGCGCAUUAGUUAGUUGGUAAGGUAACGGCUUACCAAGGCAACGAUGCGUAGCCGACCUGAGAGCGUGAUUGGCCACACUGUAAGUGAGACACGGUACAGACUCCUGCGGGAGGCAGCAGUAGAGAAUCUUACGCAAUGGACGAGAGCCGGACGGAGCAACACCGCGUGAGUGAUGAAGGUCUUCGGAUCGGUAAGCGCUGUUAUUAGUGAAGAACAAAUGUGUAAGUAACUAGGCAGAUCUUGACGGUACCUGAUCAGAAAGCCACGGCUAACUACGUG